AGUCAAGUAAUUAAGUGCAUGUGGUGGAUGCCUUGGCAGUCAGAGGCGAUGAAAGACGUGAUAGCCUGCGAAAAGCUCCGGGGAGGCGGCAAAUAUCCUUUGAUCCGGAGAUGUCUGAAUGGGGGAACCCACCUACUUUAAGGUAGGUAUUGCAACAUGAAUACAUAGUGUUGCAAGGCGAACGAGGGGAAGUGAAACAUCUCAGUACCCUUAGGAAAAGAAAUCAAUUGAGAUUCCCUCAGUAGCGGCGAGCGAACGGGGAUCAGCCCAUUAAGUUAUGUGUGUUUUAGUGGAACGCUCUGGGAAGUGCGAACGUAGAGGGUGAUAUUCCCGUACACGAAAGGGCACACAUAAUGAUGACGAGUAGGGCGAGGCACGUGAAACCUUGUCUGAAUAUGGGGGGACCAUCCUCCAAGGCUAAAUACUCCUGACUGACCGAUAGUGAACCAGUACCGUGAGGGAAAGGCGAAAAGAACCCCUGUGAGGGGAGUGAAAUAGAUCCUGAAACCGCAUGCAUACAAGCAGUGGGAGCACCUUCGUGGUGUGACUGCGUACCUUUUGUAUAAUGGGUCAGCGACUUAUAUUCAGUAGCGAGGUUAACCGUAUAGGGGAGCCGUAGAGAAAUCGAGUCUUAAUAGGGCGUUUAGUUGCUGGGUAUAGACCCGAAACCAGGCGAUCUAUCCAUGAGCAGGUUGAAGGUUGGGUAACACUAACUGGAGGACCGAACCCACUGUCGUUGAAAAGCCAGGGGAUGACUUGUGGAUAGGGGUGAAAGGCUAAUCAAGCCUGGUGAUAGCUGGUUCUCCCCGAAAGCUAUUUAGGUAGCGCCUCGGACGAAUACCAUAGGGGGUAGAGCACUGUUUCGGCUAGGGGGUCAUCCCGACUUACCAAACCGAUGCAAACUCCGAAUACCUAUGAGUACUAUCCGGGAGACAGACUGCGGGUGCUAACGUCCGUAGUCAAGAGGAAAACAAUCCAGACCGCCAGCUAAGGCCCCAAAAUCAUAGUUAAGUGGGAAACGAUGUGGGAAGGCAUAGACAGCUAGGAGGUUGGCUUAGAAGCAGCCACCCUUUAAAGAAAGCGUAAUAGCUCACUAGUCGAGUCGGCCUGCGCGGAAGAUGUAACGGGGCUAAAACUAUGUGCCGAAGCUGCGGAUGUAUACUUUGUAUACGUGGUAGGGGAGCGUUCUGUAAGCCGAUGAAGGUGUGUUGAGAAGCAUGCUGGAGGUAUCAGAAGUGCGAAUGCUGACGUGAGUAACGACAAAACGGGUGAAAAACCCGUUCGCCGAAAGACCAAGGGUUCCAGUCCAACGUUAAUCGGGGCUGGGUGAGUCGACCCCUAAGGCGAGGCCGAAAGGCGUAGUCGAUGGGAAAAUGGUUAAUAUUCCAUUACUUCUGUGUAAUGCGAUGAGAGGACGGAGAAGGCUAAAUCAGCCUGGCGUUGGUUGUCCAGGUGAAAGGAUGUAGGCAUGUAUCUUAGGCAAAUCCGGGGUACUCUAUGCUGAGAUCUGAUAGCAAGCUGUACUUGUACAGCGAAGUGGUUGAUGCCAUGCUUCCAGGAAAAGUCUCUAAGCUUCAGUUACACAGGAAUCGUACCCGAAACCGACACAGGUGGUCAGGUCGAGUAGACCAAGGCGCUUGAGAGAACUCUGCUGAAGGAACUAGGCAAAAUGGUACCGUAACUUCGGGAGAAGGUACGCUGUUGUUGGUGAUGGAACUCGCUUCCUGAGCUGACGACAGCCGCAGAAACCAGGCCGCUGCAACUGUUUAUUAAAAACAUAGCACUCUGCAAACACGAAAGUGGACGUAUAGGGUGUGAUGCCUGCCCGGUGCUGGAAGGUUAAUUGAUGGGGUUAGCGUAAGCGAAGCUCUUGAUCGAAGCCCCAGUAAACGGCGGCCGUAACUAUAACGGUCCUAAGGUAGCGAAAUUCCUUGUCGGGUAAGUUCCGACCUGCACGAAUGGCAUAAUGAUGGCGGCGCUGUCUCCAGCAGAGGCUCAGUGAAAUCGAAAUCGCUGUGAAGAUGCAGUGUACCCGCGGCUAGACGGAAAGACCCCGUGAACCUUUACUGCAGCUUGACACUGAACUUUGACCUUACUUGUGUAGGAUAGGUGGGAGGCUUUGAAGCUGGAACGCUAGUUCCAGUGGAGCCGUCCUUGAAAUACCACCCUGGUAAUGUUGAGGUUCUAACUCUGUCCCGUGAUCCGGGACGAGGACCGUGUCUGGUGGGUAGUUUGACUGGGGCGGUCUCCUCCUAAAGAGUAACGGAGGAGUACGAAGGUGCGCUCAGCGUGGUCGGAAAUCACGCGUAGAGUAUAAAGGCAAAAGCGCGCUUAACUGCGAGACCCACAAGUCGAGCAGGUACGAAAGUAGGUCUUAGUGAUCCGGUGGUUCUGUAUGGAAGGGCCAUCGCUCAACGGAUAAAAGGUACUCUGGGGAUAACAGGCUGAUACCGCCCAAGAGUUCAUAUCGACGGCGGUGUUUGGCACCUCGAUGUCGGCUCAUCUCAUCCUGGGGCUGAAGCAGGUCCCAAGGGUAUGGCUGUUCGCCAUUUAAAGAGGUACGCGAGCUGGGUUUAGAACGUCGUGAGACAGUUCGGUCCCUAUCUACCGUGGGCGCUGGAAAUUUGAGAGGAUCUGCUCCUAGUACGAGAGGACCAGAGUGGACGAACCUCUGGUGUACCGGUUGUGACGCCAGUCGCAUCGCCGGGUAGCUAUGUUCGGAAGGGAUAACCG
Molecule: ribosomal RNA, 2733 nt
Filed under: Acinetobacter baumannii
Lineage: Bacteria; Pseudomonadati; Pseudomonadota; Gammaproteobacteria; Moraxellales; Moraxellaceae
Description: partial 23S ribosomal RNA
Rfam family: Bacterial large subunit ribosomal RNA
Source: RNAcentral